This 641-nucleotide long non-coding RNA is filed under the name Vigna radiata. RNAcentral's name for it is "long non-coding RNA (VRAD_LNC003062)". Lineage: Eukaryota; Viridiplantae; Streptophyta; Magnoliopsida; Fabales; Fabaceae. The record is from RNAcentral.
AGUGCAGUGUGCAAAACUUUAGUUUUGAAAAAAAUGAAAGGAAUGAUGCAGUACAGUGUUGUAAGAUGGUGCAGUCCUUGAAAAACAAUUUUAUUAAAAUAUAUAUUGCAGUUGUGAAAUAAAAUAUCAUUAAAAUAUGUGUUGCAGUCCAUACAAAGAGUUUGAAAGAAGUCCUUCAAAAGUCUAAUGAAGAUGUGAGUGUGAGAUUGAAGGUAGUGGAGAGAAGGAGGAGACACGAUGAUUCAUACCAUUAUUCUCAUAAUGAUGAAGAUGAACAUGCUUUUAGACCAAGGAAGGGCCAAAGACGGAAGGAAUUUGAGAACCAUGCACUUCGGAAGGAUAAUGAUGUAGAGGAACAUGGUUUUAGACCAAGAUGAGGUCAAAGACGAGAAGAAUUUGGAAACCACACACCUAGAAGAGAUAAGAUGUGGAAGAAGAUUGUUAUCGCUAAAUUUAAUGGAGCUAAUGACCCAGAAGCCUACCUAGCAUGGGAAAUGAAGCUUAACCAAAUCUUCAGCUCUUAUGAUUAUGAGGAUGAUGAUAAGGUUCUUAUGGGCAUCCUUAGAGUUUGAAGCUAUGCUAUGAAUUAGUUGAAUCAAAUUACCGUGGACAUAACUAGAAGUAGAAGGUUGCCUAUUUCU